UACCGAGGAAGAAGGAACUAAGUAAGUACUGCUAAUCCUUACAGACCGCGGUUAAACUCCGCGGCUUCCUCA
RNAcentral lists this transfer RNA (72 nucleotides) under Horadandia atukorali (golden rasbora). RNAcentral's name for it is "tRNA-Ser". Lineage: Eukaryota; Metazoa; Chordata; Actinopteri; Cypriniformes; Danionidae. The record is from RNAcentral.